RNAcentral lists this ribosomal RNA (468 nucleotides) under uncultured bacterium. RNAcentral's name for it is "partial 16S ribosomal RNA". It matches the Rfam family "Bacterial small subunit ribosomal RNA", at positions 28 to 507 of the family's 1533-position model. The record is from RNAcentral.
GACGAACGCUGGCGGCGUGCUUAACACAUGCAAGUCGAACGGAAAGGCCCUGCUUUUGUGGGGUGCUCGAGUGGCGAACGGGUGAGUAACACGUGAGUAACCUGCCCUUGACUUUGGGAUAACUUCAGGAAACUGGGGCUAAUACCGGAUAGGAGCUCCUGCUGCAUGGUGGGGGUUGGAAAGUUUCGGCGGUUGGGUAUGGACUCGCGGCUUAUCAGCUUGUUGGUGGGGUAGUGGCUUACCAAGGCUUUGACGGGUAGCCGGCCUGAGAGGGUGACCGGCCACAUUGGGACUGAGAUACGGCCCAGACUCCUACGGGAGGCAGAAGUGGGGAAUAUUGCACAAUGGGCGGAAGCCUGAUGCAGCAACGCCGCGUGCGGGAUGACGGCCUUCGGGUUGUAAACCGCUUUCGCCGGUGACGAAGCGUGAGUGACGGUAAUGGGUAAAGAAGCACCGGCUAACUACGUG